GAGUUUGAUCGUGGCUCAGAUUGAACGCUGGCGGCAUGCCUUACACAUGCAAGUCGAACGGCAGCAUGAUCUAGCUUGCUAGAUUGAUGGCGAGUGGCGAACGGGUGAGUAAUACAUCGGAACGUGCCCUGUAGUGGGGGAUAACUAGUCGAAAGAUUAGCUAAUACCGCAUACGACCUGAGGGUGAAAGUGGGGGACCGCAAGGCCUCAUGCUAUAGGAGCGGCCGAUGUCUGAUUAGCUAGUUGGUGGGGUAAAGGCCCACCAAGGCGACGAUCAGUAGCUGGUCUGAGAGGACGAUCAGCCACACUGGGACUGAGACACGGCCCAGACUCCUACGGGAGGCAGCAGUGGGGAAUUUGGACAAUGGGCGAAAGCCUGAUCCAGCAAUGCCGCGUGUGUGAAGAAGGCCUCCGGGUUGUAAAGCACUUUGUCCGGAAAGAAAUGGCUCUGGUUAAUACCUGGGUCGAUGACGGUACCGGAAGAAUAAGACCGGCUAACUACGUGCC
Molecule: ribosomal RNA, 507 nt
Filed under: uncultured microorganism
Description: bacterial SSU rRNA
Rfam family: Bacterial small subunit ribosomal RNA
Source: RNAcentral